CGUAGGGGGCGAGCGUUGUCCGGAUUUAUUGGGCGUAAAGAGCUCGUAGGCGGUUCGAUAAGUCGGACGUGAAAUCUCCACGCUCAACGUGGAGGGGCCGUUCGAUACUGUCGUGACUCGAGUCCGGUAGGGGAGUGUGGAAUUCCCGGUGUAGCGGUGAAAUGCGCAGAGAUCGGGAGGAACACCCGUAGCGAAGGCGGCACUCUGGGCCGGUACUGAUGCUGAGGAGCGAAAGCGUGGGGAGCAAACAGGAUUAGAUACCCUGGUAGUCCACGCCGUAAACGUUGGGCACUAGGUGUGGGACUCUAUCGACGGGUUCCGUGCCGUAGCUAACGCAUUAAGUGCCCCGCCUGGGGAGUACGGCCGCAAGGCUA
This 374-nucleotide ribosomal RNA is filed under the name uncultured organism. Its description in RNAcentral is "bacterial SSU rRNA". It matches the Rfam family "Bacterial small subunit ribosomal RNA", at positions 526 to 896 of the family's 1533-position model. The record is from RNAcentral.